ACCUACCCCCCAUGUCCGCCGGCCUCGCCGGCAACAUGCCCAGGCAGCCUCGACCUUCAAGGCUGCGGUGCAUCUAACCGCACUGGUCUCGAUCUUUCCGAGCGCGUUUCGCGUCCGUCUAGUCCCUCUCGC
This is a regulatory RNA element of Pseudoxanthomonas spadix BD-a59, 132 nucleotides long. It matches the Rfam family "radC RNA". Lineage: Bacteria; Pseudomonadati; Pseudomonadota; Gammaproteobacteria; Lysobacterales; Lysobacteraceae. The record is from Rfam.